Molecule: long non-coding RNA, 761 nt
Filed under: Marmota monax (woodchuck)
Lineage: Eukaryota; Metazoa; Chordata; Mammalia; Rodentia; Sciuridae
Source: RNAcentral
UGCCGGGAGUCGGGGUGCCGCCGGUUACUCUUGUGAGUGCCUUUCAGGAAGCCACAGGGCGGGCGGCGUCCGCGCUGAGGACCCGGGAGCGAGUAGCAGGCAGGCCCCGUUUAUGCACAGCCCAGUGACAUACACAGAAGCAUAACUCCGGCUAGAGAUGGAGCGCCCGGGGGUGCACAUGUGUGCAGACCCCUCGGCAUGUCACCAUGCUGUGUGGGCACCUGUCGUGUGAGUAGCUCCGGGCGUGGCUGCUCCAGGGACCUUCCUUUUCUAUAAGAUUUAUUUCUAGGGCCCUACCGCCCCUCUCUCCAGAGGGGAACGUAAGAAGUUUAACGGAGCUGGGACUGAGAAGAUUAAGGGAGUGCAAGAGAGAAAGGGCCGAAAGGGUGGGGACUGUGGGCGCUGGGGGUAGAGAACCGGUUCUUUGACCCUCUCCCAGCCAGAAAGGCAUUUUGGAAAGACUGGCGUGACAAAAGUGGCCCUGAAAUGUCUAGAGAGCUGGAACAGUGAGUAAGUGUCACUGGGCUGAACCUGGCCAAUUUGUGAUCCAAAGGGAUGCUAGCAGUUAGAAAGGCAAGGAGGAAACUCAGGAUGGGGACCAUCUGUUCCCCCAACCCCAGCGGGACAAAGACCGCUUCAGACGUCUGCAAUGCCGACUGGAUGGCCUCGCUCCCCCCUCACCUCCACAACGUCCCCCUUUCCAAUCUGGCAAUCCCAGGUAUUCUUCUAUUCCUACUUGUUCACACUGUGUUGAAUUCUGC